GACGAACGCUGGCGGCGUGCCUAAUACAUGCAAGUCGAGUGAACUGAUUAGAAGCUUGCUUCUAUGACGUUAGCGGCGGACGGGUGAGUAACACGUGGGCAACCUGCCUGUAAGACUGGGAUAACUUCGGGAAACCGAAGCUAAUACCGGAUAGGAUCUUCUCCUUCAUGGGAGAUGAUUGAAAGAUGGUUUCGGCUAUCACUUACAGAUGGGCCCGCGGUGCAUUAGCUAGUUGGUGAGGUAACGGCUCACCAAGGCAACGAUGCAUAGCCGACCUGAGAGGGUGAUCGGCCACACUGGGACUGAGACACGGCCCAGACUCCUACGGGAGGCAGCAGUAGGGAAUCUUCCGCAAUGGACGAAAGUCUGACGGAGCAACGCCGCGUGAGUGAUGAAGGCUUUCGGGUCGUAAAACUCUGUUGUUAGGGAAGAAUAAGUACAAGAGUAACUGCUUGUACCUUGACGGUACCUAACCAGAAAGCCACGGCUAACUACGUGCCAGCCGCCGCGGUAA
RNAcentral lists this ribosomal RNA (514 nucleotides) under uncultured bacterium. Its description in RNAcentral is "partial 16S ribosomal RNA". It matches the Rfam family "Bacterial small subunit ribosomal RNA", at positions 28 to 523 of the family's 1533-position model. The record is from RNAcentral.